CUACCGGGGUUUCUAAUCCCGUUUGCUACCUUAGCUUUCGUGCCUCAGCGUCAGAAGAGACCCAGUAAGCCGCUUUCGCCACCGGUGUUCCUCAAGAUAUCAACGCAUUUCACCGCUCCACCUUGAGUUCCGCUUACCUCUGUCUCCCUCGAGCACGGUAGUUUUGAAUGCAAUUCCCCAGUUGAGCUGAGGGCUUUCACACCCAACUUUCCGCGCAGCCUACGCACCCUUUAAGCCCAGUAAUUCCGAGUAACGUUUGUACGGUUCGUCUUACCGCGGCUGCUGGCAC
Molecule: ribosomal RNA, 289 nt
Filed under: uncultured Planctomycetales bacterium
Lineage: Bacteria; Pseudomonadati; Planctomycetota; Planctomycetia; Planctomycetales
Description: partial 16S ribosomal RNA
Source: RNAcentral